This 1186-nucleotide long non-coding RNA is filed under the name Phaseolus vulgaris (common bean). RNAcentral's name for it is "long non-coding RNA (PVUL_LNC001690)". The record is from RNAcentral. Lineage: Eukaryota; Viridiplantae; Streptophyta; Magnoliopsida; Fabales; Fabaceae.
UAGCAAUGGCUUUUCCAGAAGCGUGUAUGACUCUGCAAAUGUCGAUUCCAGCAGUUGUGCAGAACAAUGACAAAGCACCCUUCAGGUAAUGUUUUGAAUCUCAAUUUCAAUUUCUGCUUUCUAGCGUCACUUUUCCCAUUCUUUGUAUCUCUGAAACCUAAUUACUAUCCUUUACUCCUUUUCACCAAUUCGGCAACUUCAGAGAUGCCGUAUUUGAAAGCUUUUUUUCCCCAAAACACCAUUAUUUUUCACUAUAUAUACCGUGUAUUUUUUCACUAGGGUUGAGUUCGUGUUGUAGGGUUGUAAGCAUGUGUUAAUUUCAUUGCUCUUUAUUUUUGCCUUUCUAAUAUAUAUUUUUUUUUGUUCAUCUUAUUUCUCAUUUUUUUGCUUUUUGUUCAUCUUAUCCAACUUAUUCAAUGUGUUUGUUUUUCAUCAAUACUAUUAGUUCAAAAAUGGCAACCAGUUCCUCCAUGCAUAACAGGCGCUGCAACUCUGUUCAGGUUGUAUUCAUUACUGUUUUUGUUCUCUGUUUUUUUAUCAAAGUUGCAAACUUUGAUCUUCUCUACCAUCCUUUCAUUUUUUGGUUUGUCAAUAUGUUUUCUCAUGCUUUAUUUUCAUGAUUUUUUGGUCAUUGGUUCUCUUUUUUUGAUAAAAAAAAGCUUUCUUUCUAACAUGCAAAAGCUUUCUUAAAUUUAUGUUUGUUUUGGUUCUCUGCUUUUUUUUAUCAAAGUUGCAAACUUUGAUCUUCUCUGCCAUCCUUUCAUGCUUUUUCUAAAUUUUAUUGGUCUUUGGUUCUCUAUUUCUGAUCAAAGGUAAUUUCUUUUUAAAUUUGAAUUUUCCAUUGUUAUUGUUUUUUACUUUUAUUAGACUUUAUUGUGUAGGCUGCAUUUGAAGAAGUGUUUGAAUAUCAGUUUGAAGAACACGUUGCUGCUUAAUGUUUAGCAUGCAUUUGAAGAUCAAUGUGUAAUUUGAAGAUCAAUGUGUAGGAUCAAAGAACUUAUGUAGGAUUGAUACAAGGAUGAAACAAUUCUGUAAUUGUUUAAAGUCAUAUUUUGUAUACUCUGAUGAAAGAAGUCUAUAUCAAUGUAAAAUCAAUUUCUUUGAUUGUGUAAAAAGACAUUUUGCAUACAAGGUCAUUUCCUUUAUUUUGUGUAUAGAUAUGAAUAUUUUGAGAUUGUUUGAAAAC